GAUGAGGAACGUAGCGAAAUGCGAUAAGUAAUGUGAAUUGCAGAAUUCAGUGAAUCAUCGAAUCUUUGAACGCACAUUGCGCCCAUUAGUAUUCUAGUGGGCAUGCCUGUUCGAGCGUCAUUAAGUCCACUUAAGCCCUGCUUAGUGUUGGGAGACUGCUCCAGCGGUGCUACCCUGUAGCUACCCUGCAGCUCCUCAAAGACAGCGGCGGAGUUGUGGUAUCCUCUGAGCUUAGUAACUUGUUCUAGCUUUCGAGUACACCACUUCCCCUGCCGUAAAACCCUUAAUUUUUAAUGGUUGACCUCGGAUCAGGUAGGAAUACCCGCUGAACUUAAGCAUAUCAAUAAGCGGAGGA
Molecule: unclassified non-coding RNA, 355 nt
Filed under: soil metagenome
Description: partial contains 5.8S ribosomal RNA, internal transcribed spacer 2, and large subunit ribosomal RNA
Rfam family: 5.8S ribosomal RNA (bases 1-120)
Source: RNAcentral